This is a long non-coding RNA of Salmo salar (Atlantic salmon), 3954 nucleotides long. RefSeq lists it as uncharacterized. The record is from RefSeq and is a predicted model, not a curated record. NCBI's taxonomy places the organism in Eukaryota, Metazoa, Chordata, Actinopteri, Salmoniformes, Salmonidae.
GGAGACUGAACAGCUAUCUCCCAGCAUAACAUAUAUGAUUUGUCCUUCUCAAAUAAAUCUAUUUCCCUCCCCCUGAAUUGCUUUGGAGUUUGUAUUAUUGAAGAAUAACAUCAAUUGCUAACACUUGGUGCCAUGACCUGGAUGAUUUGGUCUGAACAACAACAACCAGAAAAACGUAUCAACUGUGUGUUGAUCCAGAGUAAAGAGAGAAGGCUGCGCACAACCCACUUUGGGGAGUCAACUCUUUAUCUCCUGAUUGAUGGCAGAAUUGCUGGGUUAUGAGAAUCUACCGUCUGAGGCUGCAGCAAUAUCUCUUGACUGUACCUGAAACGAUACAAGAUCACCGGUGAAGUGCAACCAGUGGAACGGAAGAAGAAUUCCUCACUACCGGCAGACUGUCAAAACAUAACUUCUAAUAGUUAUCUAUGUGGGACUGAUACCAGUGUGGAAGAGCUGGUCACUUCUAAAGGACUUGGUGAAUGAUUACCUUGACAAUAGGACGAUUAAAUAUUGUUGUCUUGCAGACAAGUGAAAGACAUUUUAAAUGAUUUUCCUUGUGAGUUUCCUCCUAAUACAGGAUGUGGGUUGUGUUUCCAUUUCUAACACAGCGAUGGAUGAGGGACACUCGGGCGUCAAUACGUUACUAGCUCUCUCUCUACACUAUGCCACAGUAGUCAAUCAAAGUAAUUGUUGGGUUUGUACGUACAAACCAUUCACAUGAAGGGCAGGUAUUCCAUUAGGGGCUAUUCCUUUAAACCAGAGUGAAAUGUUGGGUAUAUGGAGAGAUGUUAACUGGUAUAAGACAAAUAUUGGUACUAAUUUGGGUAAGAAUGUUGCGUAUCAACAUGCGAGAGUACCUAGUUCUGCAGACAGGUGCUGGAGGAGGCCUGAGACUCCUGGAUGUGUGUCCAUUCAACAACUUGUGGAUGAGUUGGGGGUGGAGCUGACAUCCUGGAGUGAUAGGUAACUUCCUUCAUUUGAGAUUACCAAUGACACAAAUCAGCGACCGCCUUACCUAGUUCUUACACAUGCCCCUGUUGGGUGGUUAUGGUUUAAUAGGUCACUCUCUCGGAAUUUGUCUCAACUGCACCAGGACGCGUUUGUCAAAGCAGGACAGAGUAAGUGUGAUCAGACAACAGAUCUAUCUAUCUGUCCGUGACAGUACUAAGGUUGCGGAAUGUCUAGUGUCUGUUGAAUGGACACUCAGUAAUGGCACUGGGACUACUUUCUAUGCCAAUACCUUUGGUAACACCAUCAACAAUGGUAUGAUAGCUCCUGGGACUUACUUUCUCUGUGGAUCCUAUGCCUAUUCCUGGUUACCAAAGUUGUGGCAAGGGUCGGGUUAUUAGGGUAGUGUUAUUGGGGUCGGGUUAUUUGGGAUAUGUCGUGACAUUCGGUGAAUUCUCUUUUUUCACAGCGUCAUAAACGUGUGAUUACAGAAACGGAGAGAUUCUUUGCGAUUGCUUUUCCAUCUUAUGGUAUUCUUUCGAUAGCAUGGGAAGUUAUUAAUACGACUAGCCCUUUGGGAAUCCUAGCUAAUAGUACAGUUGAGAGUCUUGAGUUAAUUACAGCUGAGAUGGUUGCCAUUCGGACUGUGGCAUUGCAAAAUCGUUUGGCCCUUGAUUAUCUUCUGUCCGCACAAGGGGUUGCAUGUGCUGUUAUUGGUGCUGGAGGCUGUACAAAUAUCCCUGAUCAUUCUGAGGAAAUAACUGACCUAAUCCAAAAGAUCAGGACUGAGGGCUCUAAAUAUCAUGAUUACAAUCCAGAUGAUUUAGGCUUAGUCAUGUGGUUGUCUUCCACAUUCGGUACAUGGGGAAGUUUUUUGGUGAGCAUGAUACUUCCAAUAGUGGGAGUUGUGGUUAUUUCUCUCAUCCUCAUCCAGGUUAUCAAGUGUGCUAUUGCCCGAUGUUUGUCUGCUAAAAUCCGACGUUUACGUGAUAGGGAAUAUCAUAAGAUUCAUCAACCGUGUCCUUUUGGAGAUAGGUGUCAGUGGUGUUCACAAGAAUGUGGUAGGGAUCAUAAGGGUCUUCAUCAUCUCACCAAGCCUCAUGAUUGUGGUCAAUGUGCCUGUGGUAACUGUCCUCGGUGCUGUAAUGAACCAUGUUCUCUCAGAUGUGGUAUCACACUUGUUAAUACCUCUUUUCUAUAACUUUGUGUGAAAUCUAUUUCUUAUUGCAACAGCAUUUAAAAUAUGCCCGUUGUGUUUUAUAGGAAUGCAAGGUGUUUAAUCUGAACGAUUUUAUGCUUACUGCUAAUGUUUAUAUUCUGUCUAUUUUUUCAUGCUUUUUAUUGUUUUCUAAAAAGACCUAAACCUAUUUUUUCUCCCCCUGAUUUGCUUCGGAGUUUGUGUUAUUGAAGAAUAACAUAAAUUGCUAACAUCCUCAUUCAUAUUUGAACUGUAAUUCUAAAAGGAGAGUGAUGCAUGUGAUGCCUUGCAUGUUGCCCUGCUGAGGUGAGUUCAUGGUGUUUAUGUUCCAGAACAGGAUUCUAAGCCAGUCUGGUCCACUCCCGUCUCUGACCAUGUCCCCAAACUGCCAAUGUGUCUGUUGUUUACACAGUCCUAACACAACAUGACAAGGUCGAAUGGCGACCGCAGGCCUUCUGGUGACCGUUGCCUGCUGACUGUUGCCAAGGUGGCUAUUUCCCUGGCAAGUGUUGCCCCAGAAACCAUUGCCUGGCAACCACACACACGCACACGCACACAGUCCCCUUACGUGGCAUGCAAAAGGCCCAGUGCGUCGUGGUGGUUGAGACAUGCCCACUGGCGGAGCAGGGCAUAGAUGUCUGACAGACAUGCCCACUCCCAGCGGGGGGCACUAGCCAGCACCAGGGGCAGAGCACCACUCUCUGACUGGCAGAAUGAACGCUUCUCCCACAACAGACGCUUGUCCUCUGGAGUCAACCUGGACAGAUAGAGGGGAGAGAGCGAGGAGAAAUAUAAACACCUUACAUGCAUACUUAGCUUGAGAGUGAGAGAAAGAGAGGGGGAUGUGGAGAGGGGGAGGGGUUAAAGAGGGGAAGAGGGAGUAAAACAAUGCAUACUUGGAAUACUUUCUCACAAUGAAAGGAAAAGAAAGAGGGAAAGAGAGUGUGGUGUUGUUUACUGCAGCAUUAGAUGGCCAUUCUCCGCUGUAAAAAAGAAAAAGAAAAGAUAGAUUACCUUUGUAUAAAUGUGGCCAACACGUAUCAAUGAUGUCUUUGUUCUGUCUUCAUGAUAACAUUACUCUGUUUCUCCUUGCUUUGGCCACCCUCAUUCGAAACGCGGUUACACCAAUGAAAAAAACUAUCAAGCUGAAUUUGAAACAGGCAUGAAACAAAGACUAAAAGAGACUGAUCGGAGCGGGUGUGUAAGGGAGAGGGGGACAGAUGGAGAGAGGGAGUAGAGGAGAGACAAAAGGUAGAGGAAGAACGAUAAAGACAGAUAAAGUGACUGGGAGAAGGGAGAAUAAACAGUAGAUGUACCUUGUGGAGAAACCGUGAAAAUGUCAACUGACAACUAAAAGGUCAGUGAGUACAUUCAAUCUCAUCACACACACACGCAACACACACGUUAAUCCAUGUUUGUUUGAAUCUCUGCCUAAAUCAACACACACAGGUUUCUCUAACUGCUCUAGCAGACACACACAGGGCAGAGGGCUGUUAACGUAUGAUGAGUUCUCCUUGGUACGGUUGUUUCCAUUGGCUGAAUAUACUGUGUCAUUGUUGGGAUUGGAUGAUCCAGCUGGACAACAGUUGUUGCUAUUGGAUGAGCUCCUCUAAUCUACUUCCUGCUUGGAGCCUGAUACUGGAUGGCACUGAAGCCAGUACACUUGUUUGGAAACACUGCACCUUAAGAGAAUGUUCUUUAAAUAAUAAUUUGUCAACGCUGAAAUAUCCGCUCUUCUUCAUCUGCUGGUAGUUGCCAUGUAAUAUUAAACGUAUCCUGACCAUGAAUGGUCAUUUGUUGACCAUGAA